This 205-nucleotide ribosomal RNA is filed under the name uncultured delta proteobacterium. RNAcentral describes it as "partial 16S ribosomal RNA". It matches the Rfam family "Bacterial small subunit ribosomal RNA", at positions 568 to 773 of the family's 1533-position model. Lineage: Bacteria; Deltaproteobacteria. The record is from RNAcentral.
CGUGUAGGCGGCUGAAUAAGUCAGAUGUGAAAUCCCUGGGCUUAACCCAGGAAGUGCAUUUGAAACUAUUCAGCUUGAGUAGGGGAGAGGAAAGUGGAAUUCCUGGUGUAGAGGUGAAAUUCGUAGAUAUCAGGAGGAACACCGGUGGCGAAGGCGACUUCUGGCCCUAUACUGACGCUGAGACGCGAGAGCGUGGGUAGCAACA